UGGAUUUUGAAGGGCCAAGCUUGACAAUUUAUAACCUUUCGGUUAUGGAUUUGAUUAAUCUUGAGCCAAGACUAGCUGGGUGAUCAAUUAAACAAGGAACCUUCAAUGCCCAAAUUCAAAAGGAUUGGCAUAUGUGGAGUAAAUGGAAAACCAGGUUAAGAAGUUUGGAAAGAUUAACAAACUCUGAAACCUUUUACUUCCGGAAAAUUCUUGGCCAGUCACCCUCUUUAUAGAUCCAAAAUGCUUGUUGUCUACACCAAGUGCAUGUAUCAAUCAAUAGGUAAUCUGAAAUCAUAGUAAAUCUCAUUUAUCUCAUUUAUUUUUUUUUUCUAAUGAUGAUUUUGUGUAUGAAGUAAAGUCAUACGCUUCAAGGUAUAUUUUAAUUAUGUGAGACGUAUUAACUUCACAUGUAAA
This 414-nucleotide unclassified non-coding RNA is filed under the name Hevea brasiliensis (rubber tree). Lineage: Eukaryota; Viridiplantae; Streptophyta; Magnoliopsida; Malpighiales; Euphorbiaceae. The record is from RNAcentral.